GUUGUGGAGUCAAUCUUGAAAUACCACCCUUGUAUGCUUGAUGUUCUAACGUUGGUCCCUUAUCGGGGUUACGGACAGUGCCUGGUGGGUAGUUUGACUGGGGCGGUCUCCUCCCAAAGAGUAACGGAGGAGCACGAAGGUGGGCUAAUCACGGUCGGACAUCGUGAGGUUAGUGCAAUGGCAUAAGCCCGCUUGACUGCGAGAAUGACAAUUCGAGCAGGUGCGAAAGCAGGUCAUAGUGAUCCGGUGGUUCUGAAUGGAAGGGCCAUCGCUCAACGGAUAAAAGGUACUCCGGGGAUAACAGGCUGAUACCGCCCAAGAGUUCAUAUCGACGGCGGUGUUUGGCACCUCGAUGUCGGCUCAUCACAUCCUGGGGCUGAAGUCGGUCCCAAGGGUAUGGCUGUUCGCCAUUUAAAGUGGUACGCGAGCUGGGUUUAGAACGUCGUGAGACAGUUCGGUCCCUAUCUGCCGUGGGCGUUGGAUGAUUGAGAGGGGCUGCUCCUAGUACGAGAGGACCGGAGUGGACGAACCGCUGGUGUUCGGGUUGUGUCGCCAGACGCAUUGCCCGGUAGCUAAGUUCGGAAUCGAUAACCGCUGAAAGCAUCUAAGCGGGAAGCGAGCCUCAAGAUGAGUCAUCCCUAGACCUUUAAGGUCUCUAAAGGGUUGUUGAAGACUACAACGUUGAUAGGUCGGGUGUGUAAGUGCUGUGAGGCAUUGAGCUAACCGAUACUAAUUGCCCGUGAGGCUUAACCAUACAACACCCAAGGGGUUU
RNAcentral lists this ribosomal RNA (772 nucleotides) under Photobacterium angustum. Its description in RNAcentral is "bacterial LSU rRNA". It matches the Rfam family "Bacterial large subunit ribosomal RNA", at positions 2177 to 2925 of the family's 2925-position model. Lineage: Bacteria; Pseudomonadati; Pseudomonadota; Gammaproteobacteria; Vibrionales; Vibrionaceae. The record is from RNAcentral.